Regulatory RNA element from Paenibacillus sp., 176 nucleotides. It matches the Rfam family "M-box riboswitch aptamer (ykoK leader)". Rfam says of the family: M-box riboswitch, also know as ykoK leader is described as a metaloregulatory RNA that sense divalent metals and function as a genetic control element of genes related to divalent metal transport in bacteria. The record is from Rfam. Lineage: Bacteria; Bacillati; Bacillota; Bacilli; Caryophanales; Paenibacillaceae.
UAUUGACCUUGUUAGGUGAGGCUCCUAUGCAAACACAGGCCACUGCCCAGAAAUAUCGAGAGAUGCCCAUGGGUAGAACAGGAAUUGCCGGAUUAAGGCUUUUCAUAAGGUGGCUAAGAGAUACAUCCCCUUCUCUUUACGUUGCAUAGUGCUAAAACUCAACUAGGGGGCCGAAU